RNAcentral lists this transfer RNA (88 nucleotides) under compost metagenome. RNAcentral describes it as "tRNA-Ser". It matches the Rfam family "tRNA". From Rfam's summary of the family: Transfer RNA (tRNA) molecules are approximately 80 nucleotides in length. Their secondary structure includes four short double-helical elements and three loops (D, anti-codon, and T loops). The record is from RNAcentral.
GGCGGUUUGGCCGAGUGGUCUAUGGCAGCUGACUUGAAAUCAGCCGGUUCGCAAGGGCCCUAGAGUUCGAAUCUCUAAGCCGCCUCCA